Molecule: unclassified non-coding RNA, 326 nt
Filed under: Hevea brasiliensis (rubber tree)
Lineage: Eukaryota; Viridiplantae; Streptophyta; Magnoliopsida; Malpighiales; Euphorbiaceae
Source: RNAcentral
UGGGCGAUGAACAUGAAGAUGAAAACAAUUCAGAGCACUUUAUUAAGCAUUCAAUGCGUUUCAGGCUAAGCAAAUUAGCAUUGGUGGAAAAGAGCAAAGGCCAGUACUUGGUGGGAAAGGUGAUAAUUCAGAAACAGAGGGUGGAAUUAAUGUGAUUUCAAGCAAAAGAAAUACUCCCUGGUACUUGAAUAUGAUAAGAAGAAUGAAUGAACAAGAUUUGCGAUUGUGUAGAGAAAAGCUUGAAGAGGGCCGACUCCAAUGAGCAGAAAUUGGUAUCGGUUUCAGUAAAUGGCCAUUACAUCGAGCAGUUGACAGACAGAGAAAGA